UACGAAGGGGGCUAGCGUUGCUCGGAAUCACUGGGCGUAAAGCGCACGUAGGCGGAUUGUUAAGUCGGGGGUGAAAUCCUGGAGCUCAACUCCAGAACUGCCUUCGAUACUGACGAUCUCGAGUCCGGGAGAGGUGAGUGGAACUCCGAGUGUAGAGGUGAAAUUCGUAGAUAUUCGCAAGAACACCAGUGGCGAAGGCGGCUCACUGGCCCGGUACUGACGCUGAGGCACGAAAGCGUGGGGAGCAAACAGG
RNAcentral lists this ribosomal RNA (253 nucleotides) under uncultured bacterium. RNAcentral describes it as "partial 16S ribosomal RNA". It matches the Rfam family "Bacterial small subunit ribosomal RNA", at positions 524 to 776 of the family's 1533-position model. The record is from RNAcentral.